UGGGGAAUAUUGCACAAUGGGCGAAAGCCUGAUGCAGCAACGCCGCGUGAGUGAUGAAGGCCUCCGGGUUGUAAAGCUCUGUCUUUUGGGACGAUAAUGACGGUACCAAAGGAGGAAGCCACGGCUAACUACGUGCCAGCAGCCGCGGUAAUACGUAGGUGGCAAGCGUUGUCCGGAUUUACUGGGCGUAAAGGAUGCGUAGGCGGAUUUUUAAGUGAGAUGUGAAAUACCCGGGCUUAACUUGGGUGCUGCAUUUCAAACUGGGAAUCUAGAGUGCGGGAGAGGAGAAUGGAAUUCCUAGUGUAGCGGUGAAAGUGCGUAGAGAUUAGGAAGAACACCAGUGGCGAAGGCGAUUCUCUGGACCGUAACUGACGCUGAGGCAUGAAAGCGUGGGUAGCAAACAGGAUUAGAUACCCUGGUAGUCCACGCCGUAAACGAUGAGUACUAGGUGUAGGAGGUAUCGACCCCUUCUGUGCCGCAGUUAACACAAUCAAGUACUCCGCCUGGGAAGUACGAUCGCAAGAUUAAAACUCAAAGGAAUUGACGGGGGUC
RNAcentral lists this ribosomal RNA (552 nucleotides) under uncultured bacterium. Its description in RNAcentral is "partial 16S ribosomal RNA". It matches the Rfam family "Bacterial small subunit ribosomal RNA", at positions 355 to 921 of the family's 1533-position model. The record is from RNAcentral.